GGACAGGUCUCGUAGAAAUGCAUCUCUAAAGCAUCAGAAUACGUAGGAUCGAGGCAUUCUUGUGGGUAGAUUUUGUAAAUUCGGCGAGCUAAGGCCUCGGCAAAGUAAGUAGCCACUUUUCUCAUAGCGCUAGCUUGAGACGCCGCAAGUAAGCCUAUAUGCUUCACAAGCGCCUCUGCGAGCUUAAGAUUCUCCAGUUGAACUGCUUGUGCACAAGCCAAUAGUGUGUGUACGAGACG
RNAcentral lists this unclassified non-coding RNA (239 nucleotides) under Hevea brasiliensis (rubber tree). The record is from RNAcentral. Lineage: Eukaryota; Viridiplantae; Streptophyta; Magnoliopsida; Malpighiales; Euphorbiaceae.